AACAAUUGUUUGGUUUCCAUAUCCAACGUUUGACCGUCCAUCUUAUAUAAAAUUAUUUUAUGAUUAAUAUUUUUAUUAUUAUUAGAUGAUAAAACACGAAUAAUACUUUAUGCAUGACUUAUCUUUUUAAAUUUUUUCAUAAUUUUUUAAAUAAGACAAACGGUCAAACGUUAGACACGGAAACCCAGGAAUUGAGUUUUU
Molecule: microRNA precursor, 201 nt
Filed under: Oryza glumipatula
Lineage: Eukaryota; Viridiplantae; Streptophyta; Magnoliopsida; Poales; Poaceae
Description: MIR812 microRNA precursor family
Rfam family: MIR812 microRNA precursor family
Source: Rfam by way of RNAcentral